RNAcentral lists this ribosomal RNA (429 nucleotides) under Bacteroidota bacterium. RNAcentral describes it as "Bacteroidetes bacterium partial 16S ribosomal RNA". It matches the Rfam family "Bacterial small subunit ribosomal RNA", at positions 355 to 776 of the family's 1533-position model. The record is from RNAcentral. Lineage: Bacteria; Pseudomonadati; Bacteroidota.
UAGGGAAUCUUCCGCAAUGGACGCAAGUCUGACGGAGCAACGCCGCGUGAGUGAAGAAGGAUUUCGGUUCGUAAAACUCUGUUGUUAGAGAAGAACAGCGCAUAGAGUAACUGUUAUGCGUGUGACGGUAUCUAACCAGAAAGCCACGGCUAACUACGUGCCAGCAGCCGCGGUAAUACGUAGGUGGCAAGCGUUGUCCGGAUUUAUUGGGCAUAAAGCGAGCGCAGGCGGUCAAUUAAGUCUGAUGUGAAAGCCCCCGGCUCAACCGGGGAGGGUCAUUGGAAACUGGUUGACUUGAGUGCAGAAGAGGAGAGUGGAAUUCCAUGUGUAGCGGUGAAAUGCGUAGAUAUCGGGAAGAACACCAAUGGCGAAGGCAGGUCUCUGGGCUGUUACUGACGCUGAGAAGCGAAAGCGUGGGGAGCGAACAGG